RNAcentral lists this ribosomal RNA (475 nucleotides) under uncultured Pelotomaculum sp. RNAcentral's name for it is "bacterial SSU rRNA". It matches the Rfam family "Bacterial small subunit ribosomal RNA", at positions 906 to 1382 of the family's 1533-position model. The record is from RNAcentral. Lineage: Bacteria; Bacillati; Bacillota; Clostridia; Eubacteriales; Desulfotomaculaceae.
GGAAUUGACGGGGCCGCACAAGCGGUGGAGCAUGUGGUUUAAUUCGACGCAACGCGAAGAACCUUACCAGGGCUUGACAUCCCCUGACCGCGUAUGAAAGUACGUUUUCACCCUCGGGUGACAGGGAGACAGGUGGUGCAUGGUUGUCGUCAGCUCGUGUCGUGAGAUGUUGGGUUAAGUCCCGCAACGAGCGCAACCCCUACGUUUAGUUGCUAACGCGUGAAGGCGAGCACUCUAGACGAACUGCCGUUGACAAAACGGAGGAAGUGGGAUGACGUCAAAUCAUCGUGCCCCUUAUGUUCUGGGCUACACACGUGCUACAAUGGCCGGUACAGACGGACGCAAAGCCGCAAGGUGGAGCAAAUCCUAAAAAGCCGGUCUCAGUUCGGAUUGCAGGCUGCAAUUCGCCUGCAUGAAGUCGGAAUCGCUAGUAAUCGCAGGUCAGCAUACUGCGGUGAAUACGUUCCCGGGCCUU